AUUAGACGAAUCAUCUGGAAAGAUGAAUCAAAGAAGGUAAUAAUCCUGUAGUCGAAAAUGUUGUCUCUCUUGAGUGGAUCCUGAGUACGACGGAGCACGUGAAAUUCCGUCGGAAUCUGGGAGGACCAUCUCCUAAGGCUAAAUACUCUCUAGUGACCGAUAGUGAACCAGUACCGUGAGGGAAAGGUGAAAAGCACCCCGGAAGGGGAGUGAAAUAGAACCUGAAACCGUGUGCUUACAAGUAGUCAGAGCCCGUUAAUGGGUGAUGGCGUGCCUUUUGUAGAAUGAACCGGCGAGUUACGAUUUGAUGCAAGGUUAAGCAGUAAAUGUGGAGCCGUAGCGAAAGCGAGUCUGAAUAGGGCGUUUAGUAUUUGGUCGUAGACCCGAAACCAGGUGAUCUACCCUUGGUCAGGUUGAAGUUCAGGUAACACUGAAUGGAGGACCGAACCGACUUACGUUGAAAAGUGAGCGGAUGAACUGAGGGUAGCGGAGAAAUUCCAAUCGAACCUGGAGAUAGCUGGUUCUCUCCGAAAUAGCUUUAGGGCUAGCCUCAAGUGAUGAUUAUUGGAGGUAGAGCACUGUUUGGACGAGGGGCCCCUCUCGGGUUACCGAAUUCAGACAAACUCCGAAUGCCAAUUAAUUUAACUUGGGAGUCAGAACAUGGGUGAUAAGGUCCGUGUUCGAAAGGGAAACAGCCCAGACCACCAGCUAAGGUCCCAAAAUAUAUGUUAAGUGGAAAAGGAUGUGGCGUUGCCCAGACAACUAGGAUGUUGGCUUAGAAGCAGCCAUCAUUUAAAGAGUGCGUAAUAGCUCACUAGUCGAGUGACACUGCGCCGAAAAUGUACCGGGGCUAAACAUAUUACCGAAGCUGUGGAUUGUCCUUUGGACAAUGGUAGGAGAGCGUUCUAAGGGCGUUGAAGCAUGAUCGUAAGGACAUGUGGAGCGCUUAGAAGUGAGAAUGCCGGUGUGAGUAGCGAAAGACGGGUGAGAAUCCCGUCCACCGAUUGACUAAGGUUUCCAGAGGAAGGCUCGU
RNAcentral lists this ribosomal RNA (1033 nucleotides) under Staphylococcus aureus. RNAcentral describes it as "partial 23S ribosomal RNA". It matches the Rfam family "Bacterial large subunit ribosomal RNA", at positions 328 to 1369 of the family's 2925-position model. The record is from RNAcentral. Lineage: Bacteria; Bacillati; Bacillota; Bacilli; Caryophanales; Staphylococcaceae.